Osmerus eperlanus (European smelt) is the source of this 229-nucleotide long non-coding RNA. RefSeq lists it as uncharacterized. The record is from RefSeq and is a predicted model, not a curated record. The transcript has 3 exons. Lineage: Eukaryota; Metazoa; Chordata; Actinopteri; Osmeriformes; Osmeridae.
CUCUGCCUCUGCGUCAGCCCAUGUCCCAGCACGGCCCACACUGACUUUCUCCAUGUUUUCUAAACCACGAUUUGGAGGCUCACAUGGCGCUGCUGCAAAGCCCAAUGUGAAUGUGGUUAGGAAAGCAAAGUCUCUGUCCAGUCCACCCACCAUGACAGGAGACACCCAGGCCACUGCCAGCUCACCUACGGCCUCUGUGAGGACCACCCCACCAGGCUAUGCUGCUCCU